This 390-nucleotide unclassified non-coding RNA is filed under the name soil metagenome. RNAcentral's name for it is "partial contains 5.8S ribosomal RNA, internal transcribed spacer 2, and large subunit ribosomal RNA". The stretch from base 1 to 122 matches the Rfam family "5.8S ribosomal RNA", at positions 35 to 154 of the family's 154-position model. The record is from RNAcentral.
GAUGAAGAACGUAGCGAAAUGCGAUACUUGGUGUGAAUUGCAGAAUCCCGUGAACCAUCGAGUCUUUGAACGCAAGUUGCGCCCGAAGCCAUUAGGCCGAGGGCACGCCUGCCUGGGCGUCACACGUCGUUGCCCCCCCAUCUACUCCUUCGGGAUUGCGGGGGGCGGAUGAUGGCCUCCCGUGCGCCUCGCCGCGCGGUUGGCAUAAAUGCCAAGUCCUCGGCGACGCACGCCACGACAAUCGGUGGUUGCGAAACCUCGGUUGCCCGUCGUGUGCGGUCGUCGCGCAUCGAGGGCUCGAAAAAAUUGCCGGGUUCCGGCUCGGCUUUCAACGCGACCCCAGGUCAGGCGGGGUUACCCGCUGAAUUUAAGCAUAUAAUAAGCGGAGGA